Molecule: ribosomal RNA, 346 nt
Filed under: Stenotrophomonas maltophilia
Lineage: Bacteria; Pseudomonadati; Pseudomonadota; Gammaproteobacteria; Lysobacterales; Lysobacteraceae
Description: bacterial SSU rRNA
Rfam family: Bacterial small subunit ribosomal RNA
Source: RNAcentral
UGGUUUAUUCGAUGCAACGCGAACAACCUUACCUGGCCUUGACAUGUCCAGAACUUUCCAGAGAACGAUUGGUGCCUUCGGGAACUCCAACACAGGUGCUGCAUGCCUGUCGUCAGCUCGUGUCGUGAGAUGUUGGGUUAAGUCCCGCAACCAGCGCAACCCUUGUCCUUAGUUGCCAGCACGUAAUGGUGGGAACUCUAAGGAGACCGCCGGUGACAAACCGGAGGAAGGUGGGGAUGACGUCAAGUCAUCAUGGCCCUUACCGCCAGGGCUACACACGUACUACAAUGGUAGGGACAGAGGGCUGCAAGCCGGCCACGGUAACCGAAUCCCACAAACCCUUUCU